RNAcentral lists this ribosomal RNA (1334 nucleotides) under Oerskovia paurometabola. Its description in RNAcentral is "bacterial SSU rRNA". It matches the Rfam family "Bacterial small subunit ribosomal RNA", at positions 80 to 1427 of the family's 1533-position model. The record is from RNAcentral. Lineage: Bacteria; Bacillati; Actinomycetota; Actinomycetes; Micrococcales; Cellulomonadaceae.
UUGCUGGGCNGAUCAGUGGCGAACGGGUGAGUAACACGUGAGUAACCUGCCCCAGACUCCGGGAUAAGCCUUGGAAACGAGGUCUAAUACUGGAUACGAGACGCCNCUGCAUGGGGAGUGUCUGGAAAGAUUUAUCGGUCUGGGAUGGACUCGCGGCCUAUCAGCUUGUUGGUGGGGUAAUGGCCUACCAAGGCGACGACGGGUAGCCGGCCUGAGAGGGCGACCGGCCACACUGGGACUGAGACACGGCCCAGACUCCUACGGGAGGCAGCAGUGGGGAAUAUUGCACAAUGGGCGAAAGCCUGAUGCAGCGACGCCGCGUGAGGGAUGAAGGCCUUCGGGUUGUAAACCUCUUUCAGCAGGGAAGAAGCGCAAGUGACGGUACCUGCAGAAGAAGCGCCGGCUAACUACGUGCCAGCAGCCGCGGUAAUACGUAGGGCGCAAGCGUUGUCCGGAAUUAUUGGGCGUAAAGAGCUCGUAGGCGGUUUGUCGCGUCUGGUGUGAAAACUCAAGGCUCAACCUUGAGCUUGCAUCGGGUACGGGCAGACUAGAGUGCGGUAGGGGUGACUGGAAUUCCUGGUGUAGCGGUGGAAUGCGCAGAUAUCAGGAGGAACACCGAUGGCGAAGGCAGGUCACUGGGCCGCAACUGACGCUGAGGAGCGAAAGCAUGGGGAGCGAACAGGAUUAGAUACCCUGGUAGUCCAUGCCGUAAACGUUGGGCACUAGGUGUGGGGCUCAUUCCACGAGUUCCGUGCCGCAGCAAACGCAUUAAGUGCCCCGCCUGGGGAGUACGGCCGCAAGGCUAAAACUCAAAGGAAUUGACGGGGGCCCGCACAAGCGGCGGAGCAUGCGGAUUAAUUCGAUGCAACGCGAAGAACCUUACCAAGGCUUGACAUACACCGGAAACUUCCAGAGAUGGUUGCCCCGCAAGGUCGGUGUACAGGUGGUGCAUGGUUGUCGUCAGCUCGUGUCGUGAGAUGUUGGGUUAAGUCCCGCAACGAGCGCAACCCUCGUCUUAUGUUGCCAGCACGUUAUGGUGGGGACUCAUAAGAGACUGCCGGGGUCAACUCGGAGGAAGGUGGGGAUGACGUCAAAUCAUCAUGCCCCUUAUGUCUUGGGCUUCACGCAUGCUACAAUGGCCGGUACAAAGGNNUGNGAUACCGCGAGGUGGAGCGAAUCCCAAAAAGCCGGUCUCAGUUCGGAUUGGGGUCUGCAACUCGACCCCAUGAAGUCGGAGUCGCUAGUAAUCGCAGAUCAGCAACGCUGCGGUGAAUACGUUCCCGGGCCUUGUACACACCGCCCGUCAAGUCACGAAAGUCGGUAACACCCGAAGC